UUGGGGUCCGAUUUAGCCAUGCUAGUUGCACGAGCUUAGACUCGUUGCGGAAAGCUCAGUAACACGUGGACAAACUACCCUACGGAGAGCCAUAACCUCGGGAAACUGAGGCUAAUAGUUCAUAGGAGAGUCGCGCUGGAAAUGCCGACUCUCCCAAACGCUCCGGCGCCGUAGGAUGUGUCUGCGGCCGAUUAGGUAGACGGUGGGGUAACGGCCCACCGUGCCGAUAAUCGGUACGGGUUGUGAGAGCAAGAGCCCGGAGACGGAAUCUGAGACAAGAUUCCGGGCCCUACGGGGCGCAGCAGGCGCGAAACCUUUACACUGCACGCAAGUGCGAUAAGGGGACCCCAAAUGCGAGGGCAUAUAGUCCUCGCUUUUCUCGACUGUAAGGCGGUCGAGGAAUAAGAGCUGGGCAAGACCGGUGCCAGCCGCCGCGGUAAUACCGGCAGCUCAAGUGAUGACCGAUAUUAUUGGGCCUAAAGCGUCCGUAGCCGGCCACGAAGGUUCAUCGGGAAAUCCGCCAGCUCAACUGGCGGGCGUCCGGUGAAAACCACGUGGCUUGGGACCGGAAGGCUCGAGGGGUACGUCCGGGGUAGGAGUGAAACCCUGUAAUCCUAGACGGACCACCGAUGGCGAAAGCACCUCGAGAAGACGGAUCCGACGGUGAGGGACGAAAGCUAGGGUCUCGAACCGGAUUAGAUACCCGGGUAGUCCUAGCUGUAAACGAUGCUCGCUAGGUGUGGCACAGGCUACGAGCCUGUGCUGUGCCGUAGGGAAGCCGAGAAGCGAGCCGCCUGGGAAGUACGUCCGCAAGGAUGAAACUUAAAGGAAUUGGCGGGGGAGCACUACAACCGGAGGAGCCUGCGGUUUAUUGGACUCAACGCCG
Molecule: ribosomal RNA, 886 nt
Filed under: Haloferax sp. ES1R10
Lineage: Archaea; Methanobacteriati; Methanobacteriota; Halobacteria; Halobacteriales; Haloferacaceae
Description: bacterial SSU rRNA
Rfam family: Archaeal small subunit ribosomal RNA
Source: RNAcentral